CCUACGGGUGGCAGCAGUGAGGAAUAUUGGUCAAUGGACGGAAGUCUGAACCAGCCAUGCCGCGUGCAGGAAGACGGCUCUAUGAGUUGUAAACUGCUUUUGUACAAGGGUAAACCUGACUACGUGUAUUCAGCUGAAAGUACUGUACGAAUAAGGAUCGGCUAACUCCGUGCCAGCAGCCGCGGUAAUACGGAGGAUCCAAGCGUUAUCCGGAUUUAUUGGGUUUAAAGGGUGCGUAGGCGGGUUGGUAAGUUAGGGGUGAAAUGUCCGAGGUCAACGGGGGGAAGUGCCUUUAUAACGGUCUGUCUGGAGUGUGGAUGCGGUAGGAGGAAUGUGUGGUGUAGCGGUGAAAUGCUUAGAGAUCAGACAGAACACCGAUUGCGAAGGCAGCUCACGAAUCCAUAUCUGACGUUGAGGCACGAAAGCGUGGGGAGCAAACAGGAUUAGAUACCCGGGUAGUC
Molecule: ribosomal RNA, 461 nt
Filed under: uncultured bacterium
Lineage: Bacteria
Description: partial 16S ribosomal RNA
Rfam family: Bacterial small subunit ribosomal RNA
Source: RNAcentral